This 472-nucleotide ribosomal RNA is filed under the name uncultured bacterium. Its description in RNAcentral is "bacterial SSU rRNA". It matches the Rfam family "Bacterial small subunit ribosomal RNA", at positions 355 to 825 of the family's 1533-position model. The record is from RNAcentral.
UCGGGAAUUUUGGGCAAUGGGCGAAAGCCUGAUCCAGCAAUGCCGCGUGCAGGAUGAAGGCCUUCGGGUUGUAAACUGCUUUUGUACGGAACGAAACGGCGAGCUCUAAUAAAGUUUGCUAAUGACGGUACCGUAAGAAUAAGCACCGGCUAACUACGUGCCAGCAGCCGCGGUAAUACGUAGGGUGCGAGCGUUAAUCGGAAUUACUGGGCGUAAAGCGUGCGCAGGCGGUUAUAUAAGACAGAUGUGAAAUCCCCGGGCUCAACCUGGGACCUGCAUUUGUGACUGUAUAGCUAGAGUACGGUAGAGGGGGAUGGAAUUCCGCGUGUAGCAGUGAAAUGCGUAGAUAUGCGGAGGAACACCGAUGGCGAAGGCAAUCCCCUGGACCUGUACUGACGCUCAUGCACGAAAGCGUGGGGAGCAAACAGGAUUAGAUACCCUAGUAGUCCCUGAGCGGGCUGGCAAGGCGCAU